Molecule: ribosomal RNA, 301 nt
Filed under: uncultured bacterium
Lineage: Bacteria
Description: partial 16S ribosomal RNA
Rfam family: Bacterial small subunit ribosomal RNA
Source: RNAcentral
CAGUCGCCGCGGGAAUACGGAGGGGGCUAGCGUUAUUCGGAAUUACUGGGCGUAAAGCGCACGUAGGCGGAUCAGAAAGUCAGAGGUGAAAUCCCAGGGCUCAACCUUGGAACUGCCUUUGAAACUCCUGAUCUUGAGGUCGAGAGAGGUGAGUGGAAUUCCGAGUGUAGAGGUGAAAUUCGUAGAUAUUCGGAAGAACACCAGUGGCGAAGGCGGCUCACUGGCUCAUUCUAGACGCUGAGGUGCGAAAGCGUGGGGAGCAAACAGGAUUAGAUACCCGCGUAGUCCCUGUCUCUUAUAC